GAUUAAGUUGCGCCAAGAGAGGGGGUCGUUAAUGCCAAACGACGAAUCCCUCGCUAAAAAAAUCUUGGGUUCCAUGAAUCUCGAUGCCAUUUCUUCCUCUACCGAUCCACCGAUUCAGAGAACUAAAUCCCUAAUCUCAUGCCAUUAUCUUCUUGCUUCUUCGAGCCUAUAUAUCCUUCUCUUUUGACCGAUUCAGGGAACUACUUCGUGUCCUUCAUUCUCAAUGCUAGAACUUUGAAGCGACGAAUACCCACCAUUUUGAAGUGUACACAGAGAGUUCAAUCGAAUACCCACCGUUUUGAAGAUUUGAAGCCAGAGAGUUUGCAGUGAAGACAGGGAGUUCAAUCGAAGCUUCAUUCCUGGUUUUCAGCUGAGUUAUCAUAAAUUCAAUGAAUUUCAACGAGAAAAAACAAUAUUGAGGAGGUUGCAACAGGGUGAUGUCGUGGCACUGAUUAGUGAUGCCGGGUCACCAAGUAUCAGUGACCCUGGUACAGAACUGGUAAAGCUAUGUAUAAAUGAGAAAAUUCCUGUUAUUCCUAUCCCUGGGCCUUAUGCUUGUAUAGCAGCUCUGUCUGCCUCGGGUUUGGACACUGAUGGAUUUAAAUUUGUUGGAUCUGGGGAGCAUCCCAAUGCACCAGGUGUCAAAUUUCCCAGCCCAGUACCCAAAGAUGCCUGCAUAGGUGUCUCACCAGGUGUCAAUUGGAUAACUUGCCAUUAAUCCUGAUUGGAGUUGCAAGUAACAUGUUUACUAGCCACCAAAAGUUCAAUUUAAUGACAUUAGAGACAGGAGGAGACCAUGAUGAAAUUUCUUACCGAGGGGGAGCUCAACACAAUAUGAUGACAUAUAAAAAAUCUGGAAAGUCUAUGAUGCUUUCUUAGCAGAGUUCCCUUUGUGUUAUGUUUACUGGAAGAAAUAUGCUGAUCAUGAGGGACGUCUGAGUUCUAUUGAGAAAGUUGUGGAGGUAUAUGAGCGAGCAGUUGAGGCUGUCACAUAUUCCGUGGACAUUUGGUUGCAUUAUUGUAUUUUUGCUAUAUCAACAUAUGGAGAUCCAGAUGCCAUUGGAAGGCAACUCCUAUGCACUUGUUUGUGGUCUUUUUAGUGUUGCAGGAUGAGGUCAUGUUCACUUGGCUUUCUCAUUGUAGUGAGAAUCUGGUGAUUUGUUACAUUUUCUAACCUUAUUUCAGUAUGCCUGCAACAGUGGUGCCUCGUGUAUGGCGGAAGGUUUGCUGGGAAUGCACUUAGGAAUGCAAUUUUCUGAUGUGCAAGCCCUCUAUUCUGAAUAUAGCCAUUUCAAAUUUCGUUUAGAAUUCAAUUAAUCCAAAUUUUAUGCCCUCAUUCUCUCCAUUCCCCUUUCACUUUUCUCCAAGGCCUGUGUAGUAGUCAUGUAGUUAGUCAUGAAUGUUUGUUGUCUUUAACUUUGACACUUUGAGGCUAUGGGUGCAUCAAUAUACAAAAUACUGCUGGGAAGAUAACGUUCAGUAAGGCAUAGUGAUUCUGUUUGUCAAGUCCUAGUGCUAGUGAAACUUACAAUGUUAUUGUGGAUAGGUCAUGGUUAGGUACUCAGAUUCAGGUAAAGAUGCUGGCCGCUUUACUGCUGCUUGGGAACUGUGCACAGAUAUUGUGCUUUACACAGGAGGCUUACAGCUUCCAAUUGUAGUCACACUUAUUGCCUCAUUUUUCUGAUCUAAGGUGGCAUUUCUUGAUUUUGGUCAUGCAGGUUAAGACCAUAUUUCUCCCUACAGAGAAGCCUAUGAGAUCAGAGGCAUGUGCUCCAUUAAUUGCACUCUCAUCAAACUCAACCCAGAUCAGAUGAUUGCCCUGAAACAUUCCAAUUAUUCUAGCAAGAUGAACAAUACGAGGAAGGUUGUAGAAGCCAAAGAUCAAGGGAAGAAGACAGUAACAGUCGGAGAUCAAAGGAACAAUAAAUUGUCAUAGAUCAAUAGAUUGUAUUUGAACAAUCUGUUUUCGAUAUUAUAAUGAUCAAUCUUUAUAUUAAUAGAUUGAGUUUUACAUUUAAACUUUUAUUUAAGUUGUAUUAAGUAUGUAUUAUAGUGGUGAAUC
This is a non-coding RNA of Nelumbo nucifera (sacred lotus), 2062 nucleotides long. The record is from RefSeq and is a predicted model, not a curated record. Lineage: Eukaryota; Viridiplantae; Streptophyta; Magnoliopsida; Proteales; Nelumbonaceae.